This is a non-coding RNA of Xyrichtys novacula (pearly razorfish), 357 nucleotides long. The record is from the annotation of a GenBank genome assembly. NCBI's taxonomy places the organism in Eukaryota, Metazoa, Chordata, Actinopteri, Labriformes, Labridae.
UGUAAACUCUGCUGACGGACUCUAAGGUGACUCUUAUUUUCCUGUAAUCGUUUCUGACAGCCGAGGAUUCUGGUCAUUUACUGAAUAAAUCUGUUUUUCUUCUUCCUCAGCGGUCGGCCUGAAUAGAGUCCGCUCAUUGGAUGGAGGAUAAUCCUGCAUGCUCAUCCAUCCUUUGACUCCGCCCACCUCCGUCCACCAGAACGACCUGCUGACUCCGGAGCAGGAGCGUCUGUGACUCAGGUUUGAAUGUUUUUAUCAGCUCGGCUCCUCGGAGACGAAAACAUCCUUUCAUUGGAACAAAGAGCAGAGAGGUCUGGUUAUACAAGCCGGCGCCGCCCCGCCCCCCACCACCACCAC